AGAGUUUGAUCAUGGCUCAGGACGAACGCNGGCGGCGUGCUUAAUACNUGCAAGUCGAGCGAGGUUACUGUUUUGGAUCCCUUUCGGGGUGAAGAAGCUUUAACCUAGCGGCGGACGGGUGAGUAACGCGUGGGUAACNUACCCCAAAGUCCGGGAUAACAGCGGGAAACCGCUGCUAAUACCGGANNCCUUUACCUUGGGGCAUCUUGAGGUAAAGAAAGGUAACGCUUUGGGAUGGGCCCGCGUCCCAUUAGCUAGUUGGUGAGGUAACGGCUCACCANNGCGACGAUGGGUAGCCGGCCUGAGAGGGUGGACGGCCACACUGGGACUGAGACACGGCCCAGACUCCUACGGGAGGCAGCAGUAGGGAAUAUUGCGCAAUGGACGGAAGUCUGACGCAGCGACGCCGCGUGAGCGAUGAAGGUCUUCGGAUCGUAAAGCUCUGUCCUUGGGGAAGAAGGUCUUCGGACUUGACGGUACCCAAGAAGAAAGCCCCGGCUAACUACGUGCCAGCAGCCGCGGUAAUACGUAGGGGGCGAGCGUUGUCCGGAAUUACUGGGCGUAAAGGGUGCGUAGGCGGCCCUUUAAGUCGGAUGUGAAAGCCCGCGGCUUAACCGCGGAAUGGCAUUCGAAACUGGAGGGCUUGAGUGUCGGAGAGGGUAGUGGAAUUCCCAGUGUAGCGGUGAAAUGCGUAGAUAUUGGGAGGAACACCAGUGGCGAAGGCGACUACCUGGACGAUAACUGACGCUGAGGCACGAAAGCUAGGGGAGCAAACAGGAUUAGAUACCCUGGUAGUCCUAGCCGUAAACGAUGGGUACUAGGUGUGGGUGGUUUCGAUACCAUCCGUGCCGUAGUUAACGCAUUAAGUACCCCGCCUGGGGAGUACGUGCGCAAGCAUGAAACUCAAAGGAAUUGACGG
Molecule: ribosomal RNA, 919 nt
Filed under: uncultured bacterium
Lineage: Bacteria
Description: bacterial SSU rRNA
Rfam family: Bacterial small subunit ribosomal RNA
Source: RNAcentral